Molecule: long non-coding RNA, 400 nt
Filed under: Homo sapiens (human)
Lineage: Eukaryota; Metazoa; Chordata; Mammalia; Primates; Hominidae
Description: HSALNT0233714
Source: RNAcentral
AUUUCUAGUAGAAUUUUCUUUUGUUCGUCUAAGAAUCAAUUGAUUCUUAAUUCUAAGCUUGAAGUGUAACUGCAUUUUUAUGCUAUUUUUAACAAAGUCUGUAAGCUCUGCCAGAAGGAGACGCUUUGCCUCUUGGAGGAAGCCGCUUCACUGAGCACCCAGCAGUCAUGAAUCAUUCCCCUUCAAUACACAAGCUGUGCUCCUGAAGUUUACCAAAGAUGGACCAAAAAACACUUAAGGAAAUUACACUGGAAUUUGAAGGGGCAGAGGAGAUGCUGGUCAGCCAGAGGAUACAGGGGAAGAACAGAAAAGGCAUAACAAGAGGGAAGAAGAGGUGACUGGAGAAAGAGAGACAUAUUCACGCCACAGUGAGCAGAAGAGUUACACUGGAGCAAUGGCU